GAUGAACGCUGGCGGCGUGCCUAAUACAUGCAAGUCGAACGAAACUUCUUUAUCACCGAGUGCUUGCACUCACCGAUAAAGAGUUGAGUGGCGAACGGGUGAGUAACACGUGGGCAACCUGCCCAAAAGAGGGGGAUAACACUUGGAAACAGGUGCUAAUACCGCAUAACCAUAGUUACCGCAUGGUAACUAUGUAAAAGGUGGCUAUACUACCGCUUUUGGAUGGGCCCGCGGCGCAUUAGCUAGUUGGUAGGGUAAAGGCUUACCAAGGCAAUGAUGCGUAGCCGAAUUGAGAGGUUGAUCGGCCACAUUGGGACUGAGACACGGCCCAAACUCCUACGGGAGGCAGCAGUAGUGAAUCUUCCACAAUGGGCGAAAGCCUGAUGGAGCAACGCCGCGUGGGUGAAGAAGGUCUUCGGAUCGUAAAACCCUGUUGUUAGAGAAGAAAGUGCGUGAGAGUAUCUGUUCACGUUUCGACGGUAUCUAACCAGAAAGCCACUGCUAACUACGUG
This 512-nucleotide ribosomal RNA is filed under the name uncultured bacterium. RNAcentral describes it as "partial 16S ribosomal RNA". It matches the Rfam family "Bacterial small subunit ribosomal RNA", at positions 28 to 507 of the family's 1533-position model. The record is from RNAcentral.